CUGGCCACUGCCACAAACACAACCCACCACCGUCACCACUCCACUUCGUCCUCUCCUCCUCCCUCCUUCGCUUCUCCGACGCCUGCAGCGCAGCGCACAAAUACCACCACAGGUUGCUUCUCGGCUGCCGGCGCAUUUCCUCCUUCUCCCCUAACCUCCCUGCACCCGUCCUGCAGCAGCGGAGCCUCGACAUGGAUGCGCCCGCGCCCGGCUAUGGCCUCGGACUCGGAGUCGGAGGGAGCAAGCAGGGCGCCGACGAGGAGGACGCCGCCGCAGAGGAAAGGUAACUUCUUUUGGAAUUCUAUUGACUCCUUCAAUCUGCUCCGAGCCGCAUGAGGCAGAUCGGGAAGGAUCGAAGCACCACGCUUGGCUGCUUGCUUGCGUUGGACUUGGACAUGGCGCCGCCGUCGGCCCGCCCCGGCAGCCACCCUUGUGGCUGUGGUGGCGCGGGCGCGGGAUGAACGUCCCUCACGAAUCUUUCCACGCGCACGGGCGCCGACCUCUCUCUCACUUUCUCUCCUCCUAGUGAUCGAUUUUGUUCUACCCGUGUGUCUGCAGGUUUGAUCCGGCCAACUUUCUGGUCGACUAUGAGGAGGAUGAGAUCCUUGGGGAUCCUAACGAGGAGCAACCG
Molecule: long non-coding RNA, 631 nt
Filed under: Hordeum vulgare
Lineage: Eukaryota; Viridiplantae; Streptophyta; Magnoliopsida; Poales; Poaceae
Description: long non-coding RNA (HVUL_LNC011150)
Source: RNAcentral